AGAGUUUGAUCCUGGCUCAGGAUGAACGCUAGCUACAGGCUUAACACAUGCAAGUCGAGGGGAAACGAUAUUGGAAGCUUGCUUCCGAUAGGCGUCGACCGGCGCACGGGUGAGUAACGCGUAUCCAACCUGCCCACCACUUGGGGAUAACCUUGCGAAAGUAAGACUAAUACCCAAUGAUAUCUCUAGAAGACAUCUGAAAGAGAUUAAAGAUUUAUCGGUGAUGGAUGGGGAUGCGUCUGAUUAGCUUGUUGGCGGGGUAACGGCCACCAAGGCGACGAUCAGUAGGGGUUCUGAGAGGAAGGUCCCCCANAUUGGAACUGAGACACGGUACCAAACUCCGUACGGGAGCA
This 353-nucleotide ribosomal RNA is filed under the name uncultured bacterium. RNAcentral describes it as "bacterial SSU rRNA". It matches the Rfam family "Bacterial small subunit ribosomal RNA", at positions 8 to 349 of the family's 1533-position model. The record is from RNAcentral.